UGAAUACGAGAUGCUACGGCGUCGAAGCAGUCUAUGUCAUACUUCCAAGAAAAGCUUGCACUGUCAUAAACAAAUAAUGCCUGUACCAUAACCGACACAGGUGGGUAGGUAGAGUAUACUAAGGGGCGCGAGAUAACUCUCUCUAAGGAACUCGGCAAAAUGACUCCGUAACUUCGGGAGAAGGAGUGCCUUAUUUAUAAGGUUGCAAUAACAAGAUCCAAGCAACUGUUUACCAAAAACACAGGUCUCCGCUAAGUCGUAAGACGAUGUAUGGGGGCUGACGCCUGCCCAGUGCCAGAAGGUUAAAGAAGUUGGUUAGCAUCCGCGAAGCUGAUAACUGAAGCCCUGGUGAACGGCGGCCGUAACAAUAACGGUCCUAAGGUAGCGAAAUUCCUUGUCGGGUAAGUUCCGACCCGCACGAAAGGCGUAAUGAUUUGGAUACUGUCUCGGAGAGGGGCUCGGUGAAAUAGACUUGUCUGUGAAGAUGCGGACUACCUGCACCAGGACAGAAAGACCCUAUGAAGCUUUACUGUAACCUGAAAUUGAAAUUGGACUUUACUUGCGCAGUAUAGGUGGGAGGCGUUGAGAAUAUUCUUGCGGGAUUAUUGGAGCCAUCAGUGAGAUACCACUCUUGUAAUGUUAGAUUUCUAACUUUGUAUCAUUAUCUGGUCAAAGAACAGUUUCAGGCGGGCAGUUUGACUGGGGCGGUCGCCUCCUAAACGGUAACGGAGGCGCACAAAGGUUUCCUCUGAACGGGUAGAAAUCGUAUCUAGAGUGUAAAGGCAUAAGGAAGCUUGACUGUGAGACCUACAAGUCGAGCAGGGACGAAAGUCGGUCUUAGUGAUCUGACGGUGCUGAGUGGAAAGGCCGUCACUCAACGGAUAAAAGUUACUCUAAGGAUAACAGGCUGAUCUCCCCCAAGAGUUCACAUCGACGGGGAGGUUUGGCACCUCGAUGUCGGCUCAUCGCAUCCUGGGGCGGUAGUACGUCCCAAGGGUUGGGCUGUUCGCCCAUGAAAGCGGUACGCGAGCUGGGUUCAGAACGUCGUGAGACAGUUCGGUCCAUAUCCGGUGUAGGCGUUAGAAUAUUGAGAGGAGCCUUCUUUAGUACGAGAGGACCGAGAAGGACAUACCUCUGGUGUACCAGUUAUCGUGCCAACGGUAAACGCUGGGUAGCUAUGUGUGGAGUGGAUAACCGCUGAAAGCAUCUAAGUGGGAAGCCCACCUCAAGAUAAGUAUUCUCA
Molecule: ribosomal RNA, 1243 nt
Filed under: metagenome
Description: bacterial LSU rRNA
Rfam family: Bacterial large subunit ribosomal RNA
Source: RNAcentral